This 492-nucleotide ribosomal RNA is filed under the name uncultured bacterium. Its description in RNAcentral is "partial 16S ribosomal RNA". It matches the Rfam family "Bacterial small subunit ribosomal RNA", at positions 29 to 507 of the family's 1533-position model. The record is from RNAcentral.
AGUGAACGCUGGCGGUAGGCCUAACACAUGCAAGUCGAACGGCAGCACAGUAAGAGUUUGCUCUUACGGGUGGCGAGUGGCGGACGGGUGAGGUAUACAUCGGAAUCUACUUUUUCGUGGGGGUUAACGUAGGGAAACUUACGCUAAUACCGCAUACGACCUACGGGUGAAAGCAGGGGAUCUUCGCACCUUGCGCGAUUGAAUGAGCCGAUGUUGGAUUAGCUAGUUGGCGGGUUAAUGGCCCACCAAGUCGACGAUCCGUAGCUGGUCUGAGAGGUUGAUCGGCCACACUGGAACUGAGACACGGUCCAGACUCCUACGGGAGGCAGCAGUGGGGAAUAUUGGACAAUGGGCGCAAGCCUGAUCCAGCCAUACCGCGUGGGUGAAGAAGGCCUUCGGGUUGUAAAGCCCUUUUGUUGGGAAAGAAAAGCAGCAGGUUAAUACCCCGCUGUUCUGACGGUACCCAGAGAAUAAGCACCGGCUAACUUCGUG